AGUUUGAUCCUGGCUCAGGACGAACGCUGGCGGCGUGCUUAACACAUGCAAGUCGAGCGGAAAGGCUCCUUCGGGGGUACUCGAGCGGCGAACGGGUGAGUAACACGUGAGUAAUCUGCCCUUGGCUUUGGGAUAAGCCCCGGAAACGGGGUCUAAUACCGGAUACGACGCACUCUCGCAUGGGAUGUGUGUGGAAAGUUUUUUCGGCCAGGGAUGUGCUCGCGGCCUAUCAGCUUGUUGGUGGGGUAAUGGCCUACCAAGGCUUCGACGGGUAGCCGGCCUGAGAGGGUGACCGGCCACACUGGGACUGAGACACGGCCCAGACUCCUACGGGAGGCAGCAGUGGGGAAUAUUGGACAAUGGGCGGAAGCCUGAUCCAGCAACGCCGCGUGAGGGAUGACGGCCUUCGGGUUGUAAACCUCUUUCAGUACCGACGAAGCGCCGAUGAUGGUGGUGACGGUAGGUACAGAAGAAGCACCGGCCAACUACGUG
RNAcentral lists this ribosomal RNA (492 nucleotides) under uncultured bacterium. RNAcentral's name for it is "bacterial SSU rRNA". It matches the Rfam family "Bacterial small subunit ribosomal RNA", at positions 10 to 507 of the family's 1533-position model. The record is from RNAcentral.